CUAAUACAAAAUUUCAAAUUCAAAUUAUGAACGAUCUCAAUAGUUACAUGAAUACAUAUUUUAUCCACAAUAAAAUAAUAUAAACAUUCAAACGAUUUGACUAUUGCACAAGGUACAUCUAUUACAGUUUGAACCCUUUAAAUAUAAUAUUAAAAUAUUUUGUAAAUAAAUUUUAAGACACGAUAAACCACGGCUCUGAUACCACUGUAGGAUUGCGUAUGAGUGUUCGUAACACGCAGCGGAAGAAAAUAACAAUCCUAGGUAGAUUUUCUCAUGUUUAAAAUUUAUUUACGUGUCAAAAAUAGAAUUUAAGACGUACCUGGUGAAGAGAGUUUCUUUUCCGAAAUUUCUUCGAUAGUGCGAAGACUC
This 369-nucleotide long non-coding RNA is filed under the name Nicotiana benthamiana. RNAcentral describes it as "long non-coding RNA (NBEN_LNC002035)". The record is from RNAcentral. Lineage: Eukaryota; Viridiplantae; Streptophyta; Magnoliopsida; Solanales; Solanaceae.